AGUGAACGCUGGCGGUAGGCCUAACACAUGCAAGUCGAACGGCAGCACAGUAAGAGCUUGCUCUUACGGGUGGCGAGUGGCGGACGGGUGAGGAAUACAUCGGAAUCUACUUUUUCGUGGGGGAUAACGUAGGGUAACUUACGCUAAUACCGCAUACGACCUACGGGUGAAAGCAGGGGAUCUUCGGACCUUGCGCGAUUGAAUGAGCCGAUGUCGGAUUAGCUAGUUGGCGGGGUAAAGGCCCACCAAGGCGACGAUCCGUAGCUGGUCUGAGAGGAUGAUCAGCCACACUGGAACUGAGACACGGUCCAGACUCCUACGGGAGGCAGCAGUGGGGAAUAUUGGACAAUGGGCGCAAGCCUGAUCCAGCCAUACCGCGUGGGUGAAGAAGGCCUUCGGGUUGUAAAGCCCUUUUGUUGGGAAAGAAAAGCAGCAGGUUAAUACCCCGCUGUUCUGACGGUACCCAAAGAAUAAGCACCGGCUAACUUCGUGC
RNAcentral lists this ribosomal RNA (493 nucleotides) under uncultured bacterium. RNAcentral describes it as "partial 16S ribosomal RNA". It matches the Rfam family "Bacterial small subunit ribosomal RNA", at positions 29 to 508 of the family's 1533-position model. The record is from RNAcentral.